RNAcentral lists this ribosomal RNA (834 nucleotides) under Triticum aestivum (bread wheat). Its description in RNAcentral is "partial small subunit ribosomal RNA". The record is from RNAcentral. Lineage: Eukaryota; Viridiplantae; Streptophyta; Magnoliopsida; Poales; Poaceae.
GGGCUAAACUUGUGCGGGGAAGAAGAAACUGAUCUUGACUUCUCCAAAGAGCUUGAGGAUCUAAUGAGGGAGGUCAGAUGGCUGGCAAUUUUCAAGGUUCAUACAACUCGAACGUUCAGUCACUCGGGGCUUUUUAACUCGAUGCGCAAUGCAUGGUCACUAGCUCAACAGAUUCAAUUCAAGCCGAAGGGGGCAAACCUUGUUAUAGUGCAGUUCAGGUGCCUUGGGGACUGGAAAAGAGUGAUGGAUGGUGGCCCGUGGCUUUUUCACAACGCCGCUAUCGUGAUUCAAGAAUACGAUGGCUUUAGCAAUGUUAAUGAUUACAAACUUGACAAAAUCCCGGUGUGGGUAAGAAUUCAGGGGGUGCCAGAGGGCUUGAUGAAGAAGAAGGAACUAGCAGAGAAGGUAGCUCGGAAGGUAGGGGAGCCGCCCAUUACAGUGGUUGUUAACGAGGGAUUUAUUAAUUCCUCUAAGUUCCUCAGAGCUAGUCUUUUUGGACGUUCAGAUUCCUUUAGUCAGAUUUGUUCCAAUUACUCUCAGGGAACGGAUAAAGAACCCGGUGUAUUACGAGAAACUUCCAGACUUUGUUAUUUCUGUGGCCGAAUGGGGCAUGUUGUUGAGGAAUGUGGAGAUGGGGUUCAUGACCCAGCAAAGUGUGAAUGGGGAGAAUAUCUCCUAUGGAAUUUCACUGGACCGGCUGGGGGACAGAAUCAAGGAAGGGGAGGGGGAAGAAGUGGUGCUGAAAGGGGAGGGGGACGUGCAGAUGGAGGAAGAGGAGGAUGGGGCAGAGGAAGCGGAGCAAGAGUCUCGGAUGGAGCUGACCGGGGGGGCUAG